GUGGGAAAUAUUGGACAAUGGGCGCAAGCCUGAUCCAGCCAUGCCGCGUGAGUGAUGAAGGCCUUAGGGUUGUAAAGCUCUUUUGUCCGGGAAGAUAAUGACUGUACCGGAAGAAUAAGCCCCGGCUAACUUCGUGCCAGCAGCCGCGGUAAUACGAAGGGGGCUAGCGUUGUUCGGAAUCACUGGGCGUAAAGCGCACGUAGGCGGACCAUUAAGUCAGGGGUGAAAGCCUGGAGCUCAACUCCAGAACUGCCUUUGAUACUGAUGGUCUCGAGUAUGGAAGAGGUUGGUGGAACUGCGAGUGUAGAGGUGAAAUUCGUAGAUAUUCGCAAGAACACCGGUGGCGAAGGCGGCCAACUGGUCCAUUACUGACGCUGAGGUGCGAAAGCGUGGGGAGCAAACAGGAUUAGAAACCCCGGUAGUCC
Molecule: ribosomal RNA, 425 nt
Filed under: uncultured bacterium
Lineage: Bacteria
Description: partial 16S ribosomal RNA
Rfam family: Bacterial small subunit ribosomal RNA
Source: RNAcentral